AGUGAACGCUGGCGGUAGGCCUAACACAUGCGAGUCGAACGGCAGCACAGUAAGAGCUUGCUCUUACGGGUGGCGAGUGGCGGACGGGUGAGGAAUACAUCGGAAUCUACUUUUUCGUGGGGGAUAACGUAGGGAAACUUACGCUAAUACCGCAUACGACCUACGGGUGAAAGCAGGGGAUCUUCGGACCUUGCGCGAUUGAAUGAGCCCAUGUCGGAUUAGCUAGUUGGCGGGGGAAAGGCCCACCAAGGCGACGAUCCGUAGCUGGUCUGAGAGGAGCGUCCGCCACACGGGAACUGAGACACGGCCCAGACACCUACGGGAGGCAGCAGUGGGGAAUAUUGGAGAAUGGGCGAAAGCCUGAUCCAGCCAUACCGCGGGGGUGAAGAAGGCCUUCGGGUUGUAGAGCCAUUUUGUUGGGAAAGAAAAGAAGCAGGUUAAUACCCCGCUGUUCUGACGGUACCCAAAGAAUAAGCACCGGCUAACUUCGUG
This 492-nucleotide ribosomal RNA is filed under the name uncultured bacterium. Its description in RNAcentral is "partial 16S ribosomal RNA". It matches the Rfam family "Bacterial small subunit ribosomal RNA", at positions 29 to 507 of the family's 1533-position model. The record is from RNAcentral.